CUGCGAUUUUCCAGAACACUGUGUUAUUAGUGAUGAACUUUGGAACACCCAGGCCUGGUGAAGGAGGCUGCUGAGGCCGGCUCUGAAACCAGCGGUUCAGAGGGCAGAGCGAUCUGGCUCGUGUGCGGGCCCCACUGGCACCCUCCGGCCUUUCCAUUUUAGUAGUAACUCUCUGGUGAGAUGGAAACCACGUUGAGACGGCCGGAGUGCGCUGGCCUUCCGCGCACAUAAACAGAGCAGUUUCAAAGGAGAGGCUCCCCUCGGCUGAAGAGGACGCUGCCGGCCGCGGUCACUGACGCGUUCUGCACGCAGGACUCUGCCUUGUGUCCUCGUGGGAGGAGACACACCCCACCAAGGAGAUGCCGACACGACCCGGAAGGGCUUCCGGGCUGCGGACCCUCAGCCCCCGCGGGUGUGAAUGUGGCCUGGCCGAGACAGAUAAAUAAAGAAAAUGUGGUAUAUACACACAAUGGAAUACUCCUCAGCCAUAAAAAGGAAUGAAAUAUUGCCAUUUGCAGCAACGUGGAUGGACCUGGAGAUGAUCAUACUAUGGGAAGUCAGAAAGAGAAAGACAAAUAUCAUAUGAUACCACUUACAUGGCCGCCACGUGCGCGUUUUUCAGUUUUGUUUGUGUGGCUGGUACCAGUUUGCCCACGUCCCCGGCAGCGUGUGGUUUCGUGUCCUGGUGUCUCCCUGGGGUUCUCCACUCGCCCUUCACAUGGGACUCACGAUGCUGAGUAUCUUUCCGCCGGCCAUCAGCCAUUUUUAUUGAGAUGUAACUGACAUAGAGCACUGUAUAACUGAAGGGCUACAGCAUCAUGAUUUGACUUACAUACAUCAUGACAUGAUGACCACAAUAAGCCUGUAGGACAAGACUCUUGUGGGUCCUGUGUUUCCCUGGAAUGAUGAACUUGAAGCUCUCUCACCGUGAACUCUAAGGCCCUCUGCUCCCUCUUGCCUCUGUAACGCCUUCCCCGGCUCCAGCACACCCUCGCUCACUCGGGACUCACAGAUCACGUGGCCAGCCCUGCCCCAAGCUCGGGGCCACACGGCAGAGGAGAACUGGGGUCCACGGUCAUGCCUCCCAAGCUGUGCCAACCACACGCUGCUGAUCUUGGCCCAGGCCACUAUCUCUCUCUGAUGGAAGGACCCAGACUCUGGCGCGCUGCAUCCUGGCCUGGGCUGGGAACAUUCCCCACGGCCUCCUGCUCGUGGACCGUGACAGCCGUGGGCAGUGAGUGGUCCCUUCUGUGUCGUCCUCGCCCCACCAGAGACGCAAGGUUCGUUUGGGUGGUUCACGCCCAAGCUGAGCCCAAACGUGAAAACUCAUACAAAUUCUCCACGGCCGAAUGGCAGGGGCCUCGGCUGGGCGUUGGGUCCCUGCUGGGCUGUGAGCCCCGGGCAGUGAAGGACGGGCUCCCCCCGCAGACCACAGCCAAGGGCAUGGCCAGGUGCACCUGGCUGGCCAGGGUCUGGCUCUUAAGUGACCACCCUUGCUGCCCACAGGCACUGCGGGUACAGCUGGCCCAUAACUGUCUCUGGCAAGCAUUCGAGGUAAUACGGUCGCUAGGAAAGGCCAGGCUGGGGAGCAUGAGCUACCAGAGGUGGCAUCUUUGGCUCCAGGGAGGGAGCUUGGGCAGAAGCUUUGUGACGGACUUUGGGGGCGGGGAGGUGGGUGUCCUGCAAGUUGUAGUGGUCAUUCUGGUGGGGCUGCGGUUCCCCAGCUCCUUCUACCGGGGACGGCCAGACUGGCCAUGACAGUGUCAGCACCAGCCACCCCUCUGGCCCAGUGUCCCCCCGCGGAAUUUCACCGAGGACUCGUCUCUCCAGCCCUGACAACCCUCAUCUGCCCUCAUCUGGGGUGUCUGCCGGCUGGUUUGGUCCCUCCCUGUGACUCCAGGGUUCCCACUGUUCUUGAGCUGGACUUGUUUUAACCGAAUUGUCUUGUGUUUGCUUUCCUCUUCCUCCUGUUCCUUUUCUUGCAUUUUUCUCCCCAUCAUUCUCUCUUCCACUUGACACACACUCCCCAAGCCCCUUCUCUGUCACACAGGGAGACAGAGUGAAAUAAAACUCAG
Balaenoptera acutorostrata (minke whale) is the source of this 2075-nucleotide long non-coding RNA. RefSeq lists it as uncharacterized. Lineage: Eukaryota; Metazoa; Chordata; Mammalia; Artiodactyla; Balaenopteridae. The transcript has 6 exons. The record is from RefSeq and is a predicted model, not a curated record.